GAUGAAGAACGUAGCGAAAUGCGAUAAGUAAUGUGAAUUGCAGAAUUCAGUGAAUCAUCGAAUCUUUGAACGCACAUUGCGCCCGCCAGUAUUCUGGUGGGCAUGCCUGUUCGAGCGUCAUUUCAACCCUCAAGCCCAGCUUGGUGUUGGGGAUCGGCACAGGCGCCCUCGGGCGCCAGCCGUCCCCUAAAUCUAGUGGCGGUCCCGCUGCAGCCUCCUCUGCGUAGUAGUUUUCUCCUCGCAAGGGCAGCUCGGUGGCGACCUCGCCGUAAAACCCCCAACUUCUGAAAGGUUGACCUCGAAUCAGGUAGGAAUACCCGCUGAACUUAAGCAUAUCAAUAAGCGGAGGA
This 350-nucleotide unclassified non-coding RNA is filed under the name soil metagenome. Its description in RNAcentral is "partial contains 5.8S ribosomal RNA, internal transcribed spacer 2, and large subunit ribosomal RNA". The stretch from base 1 to 120 matches the Rfam family "5.8S ribosomal RNA", at positions 35 to 154 of the family's 154-position model. The record is from RNAcentral.